This 945-nucleotide long non-coding RNA is filed under the name Neodiprion lecontei (redheaded pine sawfly). RNAcentral describes it as "uncharacterized LOC124294631". Lineage: Eukaryota; Metazoa; Arthropoda; Insecta; Hymenoptera; Diprionidae. The record is from RNAcentral.
CGGAAAUGAAUGUGACUUAACGUUUUUUUCUGAGUUUUUUCGUUCAUCGAUGAUGAAAAUAUAUGUCAAUUCAAAGUAAUUUUAGUUUUUCCAUUUCAGCUAAAAAUUACGCACUCCAACUUUCCUGCCAAUUCGAGAUUCCAGUGGCAAAGCGCUUCAAUGGUCAGCUAAUAAAUCCGCCAUUUUGCGACAAUUGAUGAUAAGCCAAUUUUUCUGGUACUGUCCAAAUUAUUCGAGGUAUAUUUAUUAGUACCGAGGUGGUAAUCGGUGGUCGGAGGUGGAUGAGGAGGAGGAGGAGGAAGACGAGGAGAACAAGGUGGACGAGGAGGACGAGGAUUUGUGCUCGGUAUAAUCCGAGGUGGUUAUCGGUGGUCGCUGGAGGUGGUUGGCGUUGGUUGGAGGUGGUCGGAGGUGAUCAGGGGUGGUUGCGGGUGAUCGAGGUGGACGACGAGGAAGACGAGGAGAACAAGAUGGACAAGGAGGACGAGUAUUUGUUCCCAGAGUGAACGAGGCGGACGAGAAGGUGGAGGAGGACGAGAAAAACGAGAAGGACGAGGUGGACAUGGAGGAUAGAGAUGGUUGACAGUAGUAGGAGAUAGCAGAAGGUGAUUUGAGCUGGUUGAAGGUCGUUGGAGGUAGUUGGCGGUGAUAGGAGGUAGUUGGCGGUGACAGGAGGUAAACGAAGGUGGUCGAGAAUGAGACGGAGGAUAGAGAGGAGGAGGGAAAGGAGGAGGAGGACGAAGAGGACAAGAAGGACGAAGGUCGUCUCAGGUGAUUGAAGGUGGUGAGGUAGUCUGGAGUGAUGGGGCAGUGGGGUGUUAGGGUAGUGGGGUGUUGAGGUGUUUGGAUGUUGGGAUGAUGGGGUGUUAAGGUGGUGGGGUGUUGGGGUAGUAUGCAAGUGGGGUGAUGGGGCCCUUCCCUACCCUCCCCUGCCCUACCCUAAUC